AUUGAACGCUGGCGGCAUGCCUUACACAUGCAAGUCGAACGGUAGCGGGCCUUCGGGCGCCGACGAGUGGCGAACGGGUGCGUAAUACAUCGGAACGUGCCCGAUCGUGGGGGAUAACGAGGCGAAAGCUUUGCUAAUACCGCAUACGAUCUACGGAUGAAAGCAGGGGACCGCAAGGCCUUGCGCGGACGGAGCGGCCGAUGGCAGAUUAGGUAGUUGGUGGGAUAAAAGCUUACCAAGCCGACGAUCUGUAGCUGGUCUGAGAGGAUGAUCAGCCACACUGGGACUGAGACACGGCCCAGACUCCUACGGGAGGCAGCAGUGGGGAAUUUUGGACAAUGGGCGCAAGCCUGAUCCAGCCAUGCCGCGUGCAGGAUGAAGGCCUUCGGGUUGUAAACUGCUUUUGUACGGAACGAAAAGCCUUCUUUUAAUACAGGAGGGUCAUGACGGUACCGUAAGAAUAAGCACCGGCUAACUACGUG
Molecule: ribosomal RNA, 482 nt
Filed under: uncultured bacterium
Lineage: Bacteria
Description: partial 16S ribosomal RNA
Rfam family: Bacterial small subunit ribosomal RNA
Source: RNAcentral